ACCUGCGGAAGGAUCAUUAUUGAAAUAAACCUGAUGGGUUGUUGCUGGCUCUCUAGGGAGCAUGUGCACGCCUUGUCAUUUUUAUAUCUCCACCUGUGCACCUUUUGUAGACCCAGGGAUAUCUUUCCAGGGGUCUAUGUUGCUUCUUCAUUUACCCCAAUGUAUGUCAAUAGAAUGUUGUGCCCAUGAUAAAAAAUCUAUACAACUUUCAGCAACGGAUCUCUUGGCUCUCGCAUCGAUGAAGAACGCAGCGAAAUGCGAUAAGUAAUGUGAAUUGCAGAAUUCAGUGAAUCAUCGAAUCUUUGAACGCACCUUGCGCUCCUUGGUAUUCCGAGGAGCAUGCCUGUUUGAGUGUCAUUAAUAUUAUAUAUCAAACCCUCUUUCUCUGAGUGGUUUGGAUGUGGGGGUGCUGGCCUCUUGAAGGGGUCAGCUCCCCUGAAAUACAUUAGCAGAACGACCUGUUUGUUCAUUGGUGUGAUAACUAUCUACGCUAUUGAACAGUGAAGGCAGUUCAGCUUCCUAACAGUCUUUGGACAAUUUAUCAUCUAUGUGACCUCAAAUCAGGUAGGACUACCCGCUGAACUUAA
Molecule: ribosomal RNA, 587 nt
Filed under: Cortinarius gentilis
Lineage: Eukaryota; Fungi; Basidiomycota; Agaricomycetes; Agaricales; Cortinariaceae
Description: eukaryotic LSU rRNA
Rfam family: 5.8S ribosomal RNA (bases 204-357)
Source: RNAcentral